GUGGGGAAUCUUAGACAAUGGGGGAAACCCUGAUCUAGCCAUGCCGCGUGAGCGAUGAAGGCCUUAGGGUUGUAAAGCUCUUUCAGCUGGGAAGAUAAUGACGGUACCAGCAGAAGAAGCCCCGGCUAACUCCGUGCCAGAAGCCGCGGUAAUACGGAGGGGGCUAGCGUUGUUCGGAAUUACUGGGCGUAAAGCGCGCGUAGGCGGACCAGAAAGUUGGAGGUGAAAUCCCAGGGCUCAACCUUGGAACUGCCUUAAAAACUCCUGGUCUGGAGUUCGAGAGAGGUGAGUGGAAUUCCGAGUGUAUAGGUGAAAUUCGUAGAUAUUCGGAGGAACACCAGUGGCGAAGGCGGCUCACUGGCUCGAUACUGACGCUGAGGUGCGAAAGCGUGGGGAGCAAACAGGAUUAGAUACCCUUGUAGUCC
Molecule: ribosomal RNA, 425 nt
Filed under: uncultured bacterium
Lineage: Bacteria
Description: partial 16S ribosomal RNA
Rfam family: Bacterial small subunit ribosomal RNA
Source: RNAcentral